CUAGAGAGACUGCCGGUGACAAACCGGAGGAAGGUGGGGAGGACGUCAAGUCCUCAUGGCCCUUAUGGGUAGGGCUUCACACGUCAUACAAUGGUGCAUACAGAGGGUUGCCAAGCCGCGAGGUGGAGCUAAUCCCAGAAAAUGCAUCGUAGUCCGGAUCGUAGUCUGCAACUCGACUACGUGAAGCUGGAAUCGCUAGUAAUCGCGGAUCAGCAUGCCGCGGUGAAUACGUUCCCGGGCCUUGUACACACCGCCCGUCACACCAUGGGAGUGGGC
Molecule: ribosomal RNA, 276 nt
Filed under: Mycobacterium tuberculosis
Lineage: Bacteria; Bacillati; Actinomycetota; Actinomycetes; Mycobacteriales; Mycobacteriaceae
Description: partial 16S ribosomal RNA
Rfam family: Bacterial small subunit ribosomal RNA
Source: RNAcentral